UUUGAUCAUGGCUCAGGACGAAACGCUGGCGGCGUGCUUAACACAUGCAAGUCGAACGGUGAGGCACCUUCCUUUUGGUGGGUGUGGAUGAGUGGCGAACGGGUGAGUAACACGUGAGUAACCUGCCCCCUUCUUCUGGAUAACCGCAUGAAAGUGUGGCUAAUACGGGAUAUUCUGUGCCUGCUGCAUGGUGGGUGUGGGAAAGAUGCGCCUUUGGGUGUUUUUGGUGGGGGAUGGGCUCGCGGCCUAUCAGCUUGUUGGUGGGGUGAUGGCCUACCAAGGCGGUGACGGGUAGCCGGCCUGAGAGGGUGGACGGUCACACUGGGACUGAGACACGGCCCAGACUCCUACGGGAGGCAGCAGUGGGGAAUAUUGCACAAUGGGCGCAAGCCUGAUGCAGCGACGCCGCGUGAGGGAUGGAGGCCUUCGGGUUGUAAACCUCUUUCGCCAGUGAAGCAGGCCUGUCCCUUGUGGUUGGGUUGACGGUAGCUGGAUAAGAAGCGCCGGCUAACUACGUGCCAGCAGCCGCGGUAAUACGUAGGGCGCGAGCGUUGUCCGGAAUUAUUGGGCGUAAAGAGCUCGUAGGCGGCUGGUCGCGUCUGUCGUGAAAUCCUCUGGCUUAACUGGGGGCUUGCGGUGGGUACGGGCCGGCUUGAGUGCGGUAGGGGAGACUGGAACUCCUGGUGUAGCGGUGGAAUGCGCAGAUAUCAGGAAGAACACCGGUGGCGAAGGCGGGUCUCUGGGCCGUUACUGACGCUGAGGAGCGAAAGCGUGGGGAGCGAACAGGAUUAGAUACCCUGGUAGUCCACGCCGUAAACGUUGGGCACUAGGUGUGGGGGGCCUUUUCCGGGUCUUCCGCGCCGUAGCUAACGCAUUAAGUGCCCCGCCUGGGGAGUACGGCCGCAAGGCUAAAACUCAAAGGAAUUGACGGGGGCCCGCACAAGCGGCGGAGCAUGCGGAUUAAUUCGAUGCAACGCGAAGAACCUUACCAAGGCUUGACAUGUGCCGGUCGGCUCCGGAGACGGGGUUUCCUCCUUGUGGGGCCGGUUCACAGGUGGUGCAUGGUUGUCGUCAGCUCGUGUCGUGAGAUGUUGGGUUAAGUCCCGCAACGAGCGCAACCCUUGUCCCGUGUUGCCAGCACGUUGUGGUGGGGACUCGCGGGAGACUGCCGGGGUCAACUCGGAGGAAGGUGGGGAUGACGUCAAAUCAUCAUGCCCCUUAUGUCUUGGGCUUCACGCAUGCUACAAUGGCCGGUACAGAGGGCUGCGAUACCGUGAGGUGGAGCGAAUCCCUUAAAGCCGGUCUCAGUUCGGAUCGGUGUCUGCAACUCGACACCGUGAAGUUGGAGUCGCUAGUAAUCGCAGAUCAGCAACGCUGCGGUGAAUACGUUCUCGGGCCUUGUACACACCGCCCGUC
This 1416-nucleotide ribosomal RNA is filed under the name uncultured bacterium. RNAcentral describes it as "bacterial SSU rRNA". It matches the Rfam family "Bacterial small subunit ribosomal RNA". The record is from RNAcentral.